This 539-nucleotide small RNA is filed under the name Pan troglodytes (chimpanzee). RNAcentral's name for it is "processed transcript". The record is from RNAcentral. Lineage: Eukaryota; Metazoa; Chordata; Mammalia; Primates; Hominidae.
CCCGCGCCAUGACCCAGCCGGUGCCCCGGCUCUCCGUGCCCGCCGCGCUGGCCCUGGGCUCAGCCGCGCUGGGCGCCGCCUUCGCCACUGGCCUCUUCCUGGGCCGAGGCGGAGCACAAGAUCGACCUCCGGCUGAAGCCCGCCUUGGAGACCCUGGACGAGCUGCUGGCGGCGGGCGAGGCCGGCACCUUCGACGUGGCCGUGGUGGAUGCGGACAAGGAGAACUGCUCCGCCUACUACGAGCGCUGCCUGCAGCUGCUGCGACCCGGAGGCAUCCUCGCCGUCCUCAGAGUCCUGUGGCGCGGGAAGGUGCUGCAACCUCCGAAAGGGGACGUGGCGGCCGAGUGUGUGCGAAACCUAAACGAACGCAUCCGGCGGGACGUCAGGGUCUACAUCAGCCUCCUGCCCCUGGGCGAUGGCCUCACCUUGGCCUUCAAGAUCUAGGGCUGGCCCCUAGUGAGUGGGCUCGAGGGGGGCUUGCCUGGGAACCCCAGGAAUUGACCCUGAGUUUUAAAUUCGAAAAUAAAGUGGGGCUGGGA